Molecule: long non-coding RNA, 1706 nt
Filed under: Homo sapiens (human)
Lineage: Eukaryota; Metazoa; Chordata; Mammalia; Primates; Hominidae
Description: HSALNT0397663
Source: RNAcentral
AAUAAAAAAAUUAGUUAAGCAUAGUUACUACUAGUGGUAGUGUUAGUCCUAGCUAUUUGGGAGGCUGAGGUUGGAGGAUCGUUUGAGCCCAGUAGUUGGAGGCCUCAGCGAGCUAUGAUCGCACCACUGCAUUCCUGCCUGGGCAACAGAGCAAAACCCUGUCUCUUAAAACAAAACAAACAAGGGUGGGUGCAGUGGCUUACGCCUGUAAUCCCAACACUUUGGGAGGUUGAGACGGGUGGAUCACCUGAGGUCAGGAGUUCAAGACCAGCCUGACCAAUAUGGUGAAACCCCAUCUACUAAAAAUGCAAAAAUACAAAAAUUAGCUGGGCAUGGUGAUGGGUGCCUGUAAUCCCAGCUACUCAGGAGGAUGAGAUAGGAGAAUAGCUUGAACCCAGGAGGCAGAGGUUGCAAUGAGCCGAGAUUGUGCCAUUACACUCCAGCCUGGGCAACAGAGUGAGACCCUGUCUCUUAAAAUAAAACAAACAACAUAAAACGAUGUUCUCAGAUAAUCAGAGACAUUUGACACAGACUGGGUAUUGGAAGAUAUAGAAGAACUUGAUUGAAUUUGGUGGGUUGUGCCAACGGCACAGAGGGCAGGAGAAAAAAAAAAGCUUGUCAGUUGAUGUUUAAUGCAAAUUCUUUUCAUGUCCUCACCUGGCACCUUCAUCUAUAAAGCAGCAGGAGGUUGCGUGUGGAUGUGUGAACUCUGCUGCUGGGAGAUGGAUGACAUUGCACAACCUCCUGACUGCUUUAAAACAAUGUGCUUAUCACUCAGAGAAAUGUGUGCUCCAGUAUUUACAGGCAAGUGACUUGGCAUCUAGAAUGUGCUUCAAAAUACCCAGAAGAAAAAGUAUGAGAGAAGGGGGAUAGAGGAGACAAUGUCGGGCAGUCUGCAGCUGAUGUUGUUGAAAUCAGUGUCCCCAUCCCCCAACCCCUGGAGUCUCACCGUGAGGACCAUGGACCGGCGGCGGCAGAGUGCGGCACCCACACCAAAACUGGCUACCAUGAAGAAGGAGAAGCCGCAGAAGAUGGCAAUCCAGGCACCAGCGAAGACGUCAUCCUUGCCUGAGACUCCCAUCAGUGGGUAUACACGGUACUGGUCGGCUGUCACCCAUAUGGUCUCAGCAAACAGGGACAGGCCUGACAGCUGGACAGAGCGGUGGGUUAGGAAGGUCUGCUCGGGGCCAGCAGCCCUGGCACCAGGCAUCUCCACGAGCAAGUUCCCUCCCCAUUUGGAGCCUCCACUGCCCUCUCAGUAAAGUGGGCAAAGACCUCGCCUUCCAUGAGCAGCGAUGAGGGUGAGCAGAGGCCAGGAGAGAAGAGACAGCCCAGCCAGACAACCGACCCCCACGCCCCAGCUGCCAGUUUCUUCGGGGAUAAAAGGGGAUGCCACGUGGAAAGGCUGGAGCAGUGGACUGGCACAGAGGAGAUGCUUGGUCCAUCUGCCCUCCCUUGACAGUGCUGUUAUUCCCCGAGGAGGGGAACAUGGCCAUGGCCAUAAACAUUACAAAUGGGCCAGGCAAGGUGGCUCACACCUGCAGUCCCAGCAUUGUGGGAGGCCGAGGCGGGAGGAUUGCUUGAGCCCAGGAGUUUGAGACUAGCCUGGGCAAUAGUGAGACCCCGUCUCUACAAAAAAUAAAAAAAUUAGCUAGAUGUGGUGAUGUGCACCUGUAGUCCCAGCUACUUGGGAGGCUGAGGCAGGA